Molecule: ribosomal RNA, 254 nt
Filed under: uncultured bacterium
Lineage: Bacteria
Description: partial 16S ribosomal RNA
Rfam family: Bacterial small subunit ribosomal RNA
Source: RNAcentral
UACGUAGGGUGCAAGCGUUAAUCGGAAUUACUGGGCGUAAAGCGUGCGCAGGCGGUUUUGUAAGUUUGUCGUGAAAUCCCCGGGCUCAACCUGGGAAUUGCGAUGAAGACUGCAAGGCUAGAAUCUGGCAGAGGGGGGUAGAAUUCCACGUGUAGCAGUGAAAUGCGUAGAGAUGUGGAGGAACACCGAUGGCGAAGGCAGCCCCCUGGGUCAAGGAUUGACGCUCAUGCACGAAAGCGUGGGGAGCAAACAGG